AGCAGCCGCGGUAAUUCCAGCUCCAAUAGCGUAUAUUAAAGUUGUUGCAGUUAAAAAGCUCGUAGUUGAAUUUCGGGGUUAGCAGGUUGGUCGUGCCACUGGUAUGUACUGGCCUUGCUGAUUCCUCCCUCUUGAUGAGCCGUAAUGCCAUUAAUUUGGUGUUGCGAGGAAUCAGGACUGUUACUUUGAAAAAUUAGAGUGUUUAAAGCAGGCAAGCGCUUGAAUACAUUAGCAUGGAAUAAUGAAAUAGGACGUUUGAUCUUAUUUUGUUGGUUUCUAAGAUUGACGUAAUGAUUAAUAGGGAUAGUUGGGGGCAUUAGUAUUCAAUUGUCAGAGGUGAAAUUCUUGGAUUUAUUGAAGACUAACUACUGCGAAAGCAUUUGCCAAGGAUGUUUUCAUUAAUCAAGAACGAAAGUUAGGGGAUCGGAAGACGAU
This 435-nucleotide ribosomal RNA is filed under the name uncultured Glomus. RNAcentral describes it as "SSU rRNA". It matches the Rfam family "Eukaryotic small subunit ribosomal RNA", at positions 569 to 1008 of the family's 1831-position model. The record is from RNAcentral. Lineage: Eukaryota; Fungi; Glomeromycota; Glomeromycetes; Glomerales; Glomeraceae.